UACGUAGGUGACGAGCGUUAUCCGGAAUUACUGGGCGUAAAGCGCACGCAAGCGGUUGGACAAGUCUGGCGUGAAAUCUCCUGGCUUAGCUAGGAGCGGUCGCUGGAAACUGUUCGGCUUGAGGCGAUGAGAGGGGUGCAGAAUUCCCGGUGUAGCGGUGAAAUGCGCAGAGAUCGGGAGGAACACCCGUAGCGAAGGCGGUUCUCUGGGCCGGUACUGACGCUGAGGAGCGAAAGCGUGGGGAGCAAACAGG
Molecule: ribosomal RNA, 253 nt
Filed under: uncultured bacterium
Lineage: Bacteria
Description: partial 16S ribosomal RNA
Rfam family: Bacterial small subunit ribosomal RNA
Source: RNAcentral